UACGGAGGGUGCGAGCGUUAUCCGGAAUCACUGGGUUUAAAGGGUGCGUAGGCUGUUAGAUAAGUCAGUGGUGAAAUAUUUUCGCAUAACGAAGAAACUGCCAUUGAUACUGUUUAGCUAGAAUUGGGAUGAGGUAACUGGAAUGUGACAUGUAGCGGUGAAAUGCAUAGAGAUGUCAUAGAAUACCGAUUGCGAAGGCAGGUUACUGGCCCUUGAUUGACGCUGAGGCACGAAAGCGUGGGUAGCGAACAGG
This 253-nucleotide ribosomal RNA is filed under the name uncultured bacterium. RNAcentral describes it as "partial 16S ribosomal RNA". It matches the Rfam family "Bacterial small subunit ribosomal RNA", at positions 524 to 776 of the family's 1533-position model. The record is from RNAcentral.